This 771-nucleotide long non-coding RNA is filed under the name Equus asinus (donkey). RNAcentral's name for it is "lncRNA (ENSEASG00005032672.1)". Lineage: Eukaryota; Metazoa; Chordata; Mammalia; Perissodactyla; Equidae. The record is from RNAcentral.
GCGGCGGGAGCGGGCGGGCCGAGCGUGGGGACCGCCCCGGCGCGGGGCGCAGCCAACGAGCGCACGGGGAGGGCGGGGAGGGCGGAGCGCGCGGGCUGGCACAGGCGGCGGCGCGCGCUGCAGGUGGCAACUUGGGGGUGCCGCCACCACCGCUGCGGGCCGAGCCCGGGUCUGGCGGCCCUUUCCAGCCUCGGGCGGCCCCUUCCCGCCGCCAAACCCGAGACUAGACCCGGGGAAUCCGAAGGAAAGAGCCGCGGCGCAGGGGACCUGUGAGCAGCCCUUACCCCUCCUCUGCCCUUGCGCUACUUUUUUUCUUCAAGGAAGGUUGUGCCUGGGGGCUGAGAACAGGCUCCAGGAGGCGCCGGAGAGGAAGGCUCCCGGUGACCCAGCAACUUUCUCCUCAACCUCAACCAGUGUCUUGUCAGUGGGGCAGUUUCUAGAAAGGAGGGAACACUUGUCAUCAUGCUUAGUAUGGGGUAAGUUACCACCAGUUGUUGAAUGAUUCCUAAACUAUGUUUUCUUCUCUGUUUUGCUCACCCUCCCUGUCUCACUGCCUCUCGGAACGUGGAACGUGGACUUGCCCAUCAUCUGGAAAAAAUGUUGUCUCUGGGCCUUGGGACGUGGAAAAUGUGGAAAAUCUCCUCUGUCAUCACAGAAGAGCACCCACUCCUGAGUGCUGUUCCUCUACUCCUGUUAGUUUUGCUUCUGUAAAUCAUUUAUAGUAGCAGAGUAAUAAUGUGAAUUUAGUAAAUAGCUUGCAAAGGAGAAAAG